This 253-nucleotide ribosomal RNA is filed under the name uncultured bacterium. RNAcentral describes it as "partial 16S ribosomal RNA". It matches the Rfam family "Bacterial small subunit ribosomal RNA", at positions 524 to 776 of the family's 1533-position model. The record is from RNAcentral.
UACGGAGGGGGCUAGCGUUGUUCGGAAUUACUGGGCGUAAAGCGCACGUAGGCGGCUUUGUAAGUUAGAGGUGAAAGCCCGGGGCUCAACCCCGGAAUUGCCUUUAAGACUGCAUCGCUUGAACGUCGGAGAGGUGAGUGGAAUUCCGAGUGUAGAGGUGAAAUUCGUAGAUAUUCGGAAGAACACCAGUGGCGAAGGCGGCUUACUGGACGGUGACUGACGCUGAGACGCGAAAGCGUGGGGAGCAAACAGG